AACGUUACCAAACUGUUGCCUCGGCGGGAUCUCUGCCCCGGGUGCGUCGCAGCCCCGGACCAAGGCGCCCGCCGGAGGACCAACCAAAACUCUUAUUGUAUACCCCCUCGCGGGUUUUUUUUAUAAUCUGAGCCUUCUCGGCGCCUCUCGUAGGCGUUUCGAAAAUGAAUCAAAACUUUCAACAACGGAUCUCUUGGUUCUGGCAUCGAUGAAGAACGCAGCGAAAUGCGAUAAGUAAUGUGAAUUGCAGAAUUCAGUGAAUCAUCGAAUCUUUGAACGCACAUUGCGCCCGCCAGUAUUCUGGCGGGCAUGCCUGUCCGAGCGUCAUUUCAACCCUCGAACCCCUCCGGGGGGUCGGCGUUGGGGAUCGGCCCUGCCUUGGCGGUGGCCGUCUCCGAAAUACAGUGGCGGUCUCGCCGCAGCCUCUCCUGCGCAGUAGUUUGCACACUCGCAUCGGGAGCGCGGCGCG
This 469-nucleotide unclassified non-coding RNA is filed under the name Trichoderma sp. TRI-1. RNAcentral's name for it is "sequence contains ITS1, 5.8S rRNA gene and ITS2". The stretch from base 174 to 327 matches the Rfam family "5.8S ribosomal RNA". Lineage: Eukaryota; Fungi; Ascomycota; Sordariomycetes; Hypocreales; Hypocreaceae. The record is from RNAcentral.